GAUGAAGAACGCAGCGAAAUGCGAUACGUAAUGUGAAUUGCAGAAUUCAGUGAAUCAUCGAAUCUUUGAACGCAUAUUGCGCUCUCUGGUAUUCCGGAGAGCAUGCUUGUUUGAGUAUCAGUAAACACCUCAACUUCCAUAUCUUUUUUGAAAUGGGAGUUGGACUUGAGUGAUCCCAACGCUUUUCCUCACCGAAAAGUGGCGGGUUACUUGAAAUGCAGGUGCAGCUGGACUUUUCUCUGAGCUAUAAGCAUAUCUAUUUAGUCUGCCUAAAAAACAGAGUAUUACCUUUGCUGCAGCUAACAUAAAGGAGAUUCGUUCUUGUGCUGACUGAUGCAGGAUUCACAAAGACAGGCUUCGGCCGACUUUGUAAACUCGAUCUCAAAUCAAGUAAGACUACCCGCUGAACUUAAGCAUAUCAAUAAGCGGAGGA
Molecule: unclassified non-coding RNA, 433 nt
Filed under: soil metagenome
Description: partial contains 5.8S ribosomal RNA, internal transcribed spacer 2, and large subunit ribosomal RNA
Rfam family: 5.8S ribosomal RNA (bases 1-120)
Source: RNAcentral